This 78-nucleotide ribosomal RNA is filed under the name Syngonanthus reclinatus. RNAcentral describes it as "partial 18S ribosomal RNA". It matches the Rfam family "Eukaryotic small subunit ribosomal RNA", at positions 1760 to 1831 of the family's 1831-position model. Lineage: Eukaryota; Viridiplantae; Streptophyta; Magnoliopsida; Poales; Eriocaulaceae. The record is from RNAcentral.
UGAACCUUAUCAUUUAUAGGAAGGAGAAGUCGUAACAAGGUUUCCGUAGGUGAACCUUGCGGAAGGAUCAUUGUCGUG